AUUGAACGCUGGCGGCGUGCUUAACACAUGCAAGUCGAACGUGAAAGUCCUUCGGGGCGAGUAAAGUGGCGCACGGGUGAGUAACGCGUGGAUAAUCUACCCUUAAGAUGGGGAUAACGGCUGGAAACGGUCGCUAAUACCGAAUACGCUCCCGAUUUUAUCGUUGGGGGGAAAGAUGGCCUCUGCUUGCAAGCUAUCGCUUAAGGAUGAGUCCGCGUCCCAUUAGCUAGUUGGCGGGGUAACGGCCCACCAAGGCAACGAUGGGUAGCCGGUCUGAGAGGAUGAUCGGCCACACUGGAACUGGAACACGGUCCAGACUCCUACGGGAGGCAGCAGUGGGGAAUAUUGCGCAAUGGGCGAAAGCCUGACGCAGCGACGCCGCGUGAGGGAUGAAGGUUCUCGGAUCGUAAACCUCUGUCAGGGGGGAAGAAACCCCCUCGUGUGAAU
RNAcentral lists this ribosomal RNA (447 nucleotides) under uncultured bacterium. Its description in RNAcentral is "bacterial SSU rRNA". It matches the Rfam family "Bacterial small subunit ribosomal RNA", at positions 30 to 465 of the family's 1533-position model. The record is from RNAcentral.